This 253-nucleotide unclassified non-coding RNA is filed under the name uncultured Verrucomicrobiota bacterium. RNAcentral's name for it is "uncultured Verrucomicrobia bacterium contains 16S-23S intergenic spacer region". It matches the Rfam family "Bacterial small subunit ribosomal RNA", at positions 524 to 776 of the family's 1533-position model. The record is from RNAcentral. Lineage: Bacteria; Pseudomonadati; Verrucomicrobiota.
UACAGAGGUCCCAAGCGUUGUUCGGAUUCACUGGGCGUAAAGGGUGCGUAGGUGGCGGGGAAAGUUCGAUGUGAAAUCUCCGAGCUCAACUCGGAAACUGCAGUUGAGACUACUCUGCUUGAGGGUCGGUUGGGAGACUAGAAUUCGCGGUGUAGCAGUGAAAUGCGUAGAUAUCGAGAGGAACACCAGUGGCGAAGGCGAGUCUCUGGACGACUCCUGACACUGAGGCACGAAAGCUAGGGGAGCAAACAGG